This 274-nucleotide ribosomal RNA is filed under the name uncultured bacterium. RNAcentral describes it as "partial 16S ribosomal RNA". It matches the Rfam family "Bacterial small subunit ribosomal RNA", at positions 523 to 796 of the family's 1533-position model. The record is from RNAcentral.
AUACGGAGGGUGCAAGCGUUAUUCGGAAUCACUGGGCGUAAAGGACGCGUAGGCGGGUUGACAAGUCAGAUGUGAAAUCCUACAGCUUAACUGUAGAACUGCAUUUGAAACUGCUAACCUAGAGUAUGGGAGGGGGAGAUGGAAUUAGUGGUGUAGGGGUAAAAUCCGUAGAUAUCACUAGGAAUACCGAAAGCGAAGGCGAUCUCCUGGAACAUAACUGACGCUAAGGCGUGAAAGCGUGGGGAGCAAACAGAAUUAGAAACCCUAGUAGUCC